CCCAAUCCUGACACAGGGAGGUAGUGACAAUAAAUAACAAUGCCGGGCCUUUACAGGUCUGGCAAUUGGAAUGAGAACAAUUUAAAUCCCUUAUCGAGUAUCAAUUGGAGGGCAAGUCUGGUGCCAGCAGCCGCGGUAAUUCCAGCUCCAAUAGCGUAUAUUAAAGUUGUUGCAGUUAAAAAGCUCGUAGUUGGUUUUCAGUCUGGGGUGGCGAAGCACUCACAACGUGAGUGACUUCUGCCUUCCUGGACUUCCUUGGUGAGAAUCUGUUUGGUAUUAAGUUAUCGGGCAGAGGAUAACCAUCGUUUACUGUGAAAAAAUUAGAGUGUUUAAAGCAGGCUUAUGCCGUUGAAUAUAUUAGCAUGGAAUAAUAAGAUAGGACUUUGAGUCUAUUUUGUUGGUUUGUGAAUCAAAGUAAUGAUUAAUAGGGACAGUUGGGGGUAUUCGUAUUUCAUUGUCAGAGGUGAAAUUCUCGGAUUUCUGAAAGACGAACUACUGCGAAAGCAUUUACCAAGGAUGUUUUCAUUAAUCAAGAACGAAAGUUAGGGGAUCGAAGAUGAUUAGAUACCAUCGUAGUCUUAACCAUAAACUAUGCCGACUCAGGAUUGGCGGUUGUUUUUUGACUCC
RNAcentral lists this ribosomal RNA (627 nucleotides) under uncultured marine diatom. Its description in RNAcentral is "SSU rRNA". It matches the Rfam family "Eukaryotic small subunit ribosomal RNA", at positions 444 to 1078 of the family's 1831-position model. The record is from RNAcentral. Lineage: Eukaryota; Bacillariophyta.